UAUGAAGGAAAAAAAACACGAGAGAGUUUACAAGAUUUGUUGUUCAUUGGGUCUUUUUAGGUGUUCCAGCAAAGUCUGUAUUACAAACGGAUUUCUUGGCCCAAACGUUAAGACUUGACAAUAAUAUGGUGGGCUUAAUAUUGUAAUGGAGAAGUGAACUUAAGGUCGUGAGCUGAAAAGCACCGAUCUUAAUUAUAAAUCAAAAGGUAGAAGCUUUACUUCUGACAAGCUCCUGCCCUUUCCACAUUAGUUUCCUUUCAAAUUUACAGUAAAUUCAGUGUAUUCUAGUACCAUUAUUGCACAAGUUAACUUGAUUCUCUAUUUAAAUCCCAAGGAAUCGCUUAUUUAUGC
Molecule: long non-coding RNA, 351 nt
Filed under: Ricinus communis (castor bean)
Lineage: Eukaryota; Viridiplantae; Streptophyta; Magnoliopsida; Malpighiales; Euphorbiaceae
Description: long non-coding RNA (RCOM_LNC002743)
Source: RNAcentral